This 450-nucleotide ribosomal RNA is filed under the name uncultured bacterium. Its description in RNAcentral is "bacterial SSU rRNA". It matches the Rfam family "Bacterial small subunit ribosomal RNA", at positions 354 to 796 of the family's 1533-position model. The record is from RNAcentral.
GUGGGGAAUUUUGGACAAUGGGCGCAAGCCUGAUCCAGCCAUGCCGCGUGCAGGAUGAAGGCCUUCGGGUUGUAAACUGCUUUUGUACGGAACGAAACGGUCCUGGUUAAUACCUGGGGCUAAUGACGGUACCGUAAGAAUAAGCACCGGCUAACUACGUGCCAGCAGCCGCGGUAAUACGUAGGGUGCGAGCGUUAAUCGGAAUUACUGGGCGUAAAGCGUGCGCAGGCGGUGCUGUAAGACAGGCGUGAAAUCCCCGGGCUCAACCUGGGAACUGCCUUUGUGACUGCAUAGCUGGAGUGCGGCAGAGGGGGAUGGAAUUCCGCGUGUAGCAGUGAAAUGCGUAGAUAUGCGGAGGAACACCGAUGGCGAAGGCAAUCCCCUGGGCCUGCACUGACGCUCAUGCACGAAAGCGUGGGGAGCAAACAGGAUUAGAAACCCCUGUAGUCC